GGCCCGGUAGCAGAUGGUCCGCACUUGCUUUCAAUACAAAGUUAGACUGCGUGCAUGCAGGACCCGCUCGUUCUAUUCGAGCCUGGGCCA
Non-coding RNA from Mycena epipterygia, 90 nucleotides. The record is from the annotation of a GenBank genome assembly. Lineage: Eukaryota; Fungi; Basidiomycota; Agaricomycetes; Agaricales; Mycenaceae.